AUUGAACGCUGGCGGCAGGCCUAACACAUGCAAGUCGAGCGAGCGGCGGACGGGUGAGUAAUGUAUGGGGACUGCCCAACAGAGGGGGAUAACUACUGGAAACGGUGGCUAAUACCGCAUAAUAUCGGAUGACCCAUAUGGGAUUAGCUAGUAGGUGGGGGAACGGCGCACCUAGGCGACGAUCCCUAGCUGGUCUGAGAGGAUGAUCAGCCACACUGGGACGGCGACACGGCCCAGACUCCUACGGAGGCAGCAGUGGGGAAUAUUGCGCAAUGGGCGCAAGCCUGAUGCAGCCAUGCCGCGUGUAUGAAGAAGGUCUUCGGAUUGUAAAGUACUUUCAUCAGGGAAGCGUUACCCACAGAUUAAGCACCGGCUAACUCCGUGCCAGCAGCCGCGGUAAUUC
This 403-nucleotide ribosomal RNA is filed under the name uncultured bacterium. Its description in RNAcentral is "partial 16S ribosomal RNA". It matches the Rfam family "Bacterial small subunit ribosomal RNA", at positions 30 to 526 of the family's 1533-position model. The record is from RNAcentral.